RNAcentral lists this RNase P RNA (388 nucleotides) under Alphaproteobacteria bacterium. RNAcentral's name for it is "RNase P RNA component class A". It matches the Rfam family "Bacterial RNase P class A". From Rfam's summary of the family: Ribonuclease P (RNase P) is a ubiquitous endoribonuclease, found in archaea, bacteria and eukarya as well as chloroplasts and mitochondria. Its best characterised activity is the generation of mature 5'-ends of tRNAs by cleaving the 5'-leader elements of precursor-tRNAs. Lineage: Bacteria; Pseudomonadati; Pseudomonadota; Alphaproteobacteria. The record is from RNAcentral.
CCAGAAGGCUGGGCAGCCGCAUUGUGAUAAUUUAUUAUCAUUCUGAGGAAAGUCCGGGCUUCAUGAAAACACAGUGCCGGGUAAUACCCGGGUGGCGCGAGCCAACGGAAAGUGCUGCAGAAACUUAAACCGCCGAUGGGCUUUUAGGUCACAGGCAAGGAUGAGAAGGUGCGGUAAGAGCGCACCGCGAGGCUGGUAACAGACUUGGCAAGGUAAACCCCACUGGAAGCAAGAUCAAAUAGGAACCGCGCAUAGGGCGUUUUCCCCUCGGUGGUUCGGGUAGAUUGCUUGAGGGUGCUGGUAACAGCACUCCUAGAGGAAUGGUUGCCGCUUUGUUAGGUUUCGGCCUUGCAAAGUACAAAACCCGGCUUAUAGGCCCUCUGGAUAA